GUCGUCUCUGAUAUCGAUCACUAUAUCACCACUCCGACGAGGGUCCUGAUGUGGAGCCGAGGCCGUGAAUUGGUCGAGCGGAACAGGUGCCGCGGCUGUGGUGAUGCUCGACCUGCAGAGCGGGCAAUUGGCGUUGGUUUGGAGCCAGGUAUCUAUGCAGUCUAUAUGGAAGACAUGGAAGCAGUUCGGCAGCAGCCUAAUCCUCUCCUCUUCUUGGAACUCGUUCAGGCACACAGCGCACUCGUGGAAGGACGUCUUCCCCGCGCCAUCGCCCCCUCUGCGGUAUCGAAGCGUGGGGAUUGCCCGGAUUUCCGACUCACCGAGGCCGUGGCUCUCGGUGACGGUCGAGUAGGCCAUCAGUCGGUCGUCGAUACGGCGCCGUGAACGCGAGAGGCGGCCCACGACAUCGGACCGGCGCCAGUUGAGGCAACAUCUGACCGCAAAGACGUAGUAGCUGAGGAGGAGGAUGGACGUGGUGAGGAUGCCAAGGAUGGAUAUAGCUAGGAUGGGGAAGCUGGCGUCCGAGGAGGGAGGAGACGGAGGAGGGGGUUGGUGACCGAGUGGGG
This 566-nucleotide long non-coding RNA is filed under the name Musa acuminata (dwarf banana). RNAcentral describes it as "long non-coding RNA (MACU_LNC007954)". Lineage: Eukaryota; Viridiplantae; Streptophyta; Magnoliopsida; Zingiberales; Musaceae. The record is from RNAcentral.